CGAGGGUGCAAGCGUUAUCCGGAUUUACUGGGUUUAAAGGGAGCGUAGGUGGGUCGGUAAGUCAGUGGUGAAAUCUUCGAGCUUAACUCGGAAACUGCCAUUGAUACUAUCGAUCUUGAAUUAUCUGGAGGUAAGCGGAAUAUGUCAUGUAGCGGUGAAAUGCUUAGAUAUGACAUAGAACACCCAUUGCGAAGGCAGCUUACUACGGAUAUAUUGACACUGAGGCUCGAAAGCGUGGGGAUCAAACAGGAUUAGAUACCCUGGUAGUCCACGCCCUAAACGAUGGAUACUCGACAUCAGCGAUACACUGUUGGUGUCUGAGCGAAAGCAUUAAGUAUCCCACCUGGGAAGUACGACCGCAAGGUUG
Molecule: ribosomal RNA, 367 nt
Filed under: uncultured organism
Description: bacterial SSU rRNA
Rfam family: Bacterial small subunit ribosomal RNA
Source: RNAcentral